UAAAAUUAUAAAUGAGCUCUUAAAUUAUUACAAGCAAAUAAAUAAAUUAUGCUACAUAUUCGAUAAGGCAGAGAAACUCACAAACAUUUCAAUUAAUUUUUUUACGUACACUCGCAAUAUCUGAUUUACCGGAAAAUAAUAAAAUGUUUUUGUGUUCUGGUAUAAUCGGGAUAGAAUACUUUUUAUGAGCCAGGAUUUGACGUUUCUUGCUUUGAGUAUGUUAUUAAUCAAAAAACUACGAUGGAUUAGAAGCAUAUAUUUUGAAUACGCGAUGAAAGCCAUUGGUAGAAUAAAGAUAAAGACAGAUAUAAGUCUUUACAUGACGUGCAAGCAUACCAUAUAACCUUUGGUGUGGAGCUGGGCUUCUGCAUACGUAUUUGGAUAUCGUUUCAAUAUUCGAUAAUAAUAAAUAUUUGAAAAAUAAA
Molecule: long non-coding RNA, 425 nt
Organism: Drosophila virilis
Lineage: Eukaryota; Metazoa; Arthropoda; Insecta; Diptera; Drosophilidae
Source: RefSeq, a predicted model, not a curated record